Molecule: ribosomal RNA, 484 nt
Filed under: uncultured bacterium
Lineage: Bacteria
Description: partial 16S ribosomal RNA
Rfam family: Bacterial small subunit ribosomal RNA
Source: RNAcentral
AUUGAACGCUGGCGGCAGGCCUAACACAUGCAAGUCGAGCGGAUGAAGGGAGCUUGCUCCUGGAUUCAGCGGCGGGCGGGUGAGUAAUGCCUAGGAAUCUGCCUGGUAGUGGGGGAUAACGUCCGGAAACGGGCGCUAAUACCGCAUACGUCCUGAGGGAGAAAGUGGGGGAUCUUCGGACCUCACGCUAUCAGAUGAGCCUAGGUCGGAUUAGCUAGUUGGUGGGGUAAAGGCCUACCAAGGCGACGAUCCGUAACUGGUCCGAGAGGAUGAUCAGUCACACUGGAACUGAGACGCGGUCCAGACUCCUACGGGAGGCAGCAGUGGGGAAUAUUGGACAAUGGGCGAAAGCCUGAUCCAGCCAUGCCGCGUGUGUGAAGAAGGUCUUCGGAUUGUAAAGCACUUUAAGUUGGGAGGAAGGGCAGUAAGUUAAUACCUUGCUGUUUUGACGUUACCAACAGAAUAAGCACCGGCUAACUUCGUG